AUUGAACGCUGGCGGCAGGCCUAACACAUGCAAGUCGAGCGGCAGCACUUCGGGUGGCGAGCGGCGAACGGGUGAGUAAUACAUGGGAAUCUGCCUGGUAGUGGGGGAUAACUCUGGGAAACUAGAGGUAAUACCGCAUACGCCCUACGGGGAAGCGGGGGAUCUUCGGACCUCGCGCUAUCAGAGGAGCCCAUGUCCGAUUAGCUAGUUGGUGAGGUAAAGGCUCACCAAGGCGACGAUCGGUAACUGGUCUGAGAGGAUGGUCAGUCACACUGGAACUGAGACACGGUCCAGACUCCUACGGGAGGCAGCAGUGGGGAAUAUUGGACAAUGGGGGCAACCCUGAUCCAGCCAUGCCGCGUGUGUGAAGAAGGCC
This 376-nucleotide ribosomal RNA is filed under the name uncultured bacterium. RNAcentral's name for it is "bacterial SSU rRNA". It matches the Rfam family "Bacterial small subunit ribosomal RNA", at positions 30 to 416 of the family's 1533-position model. The record is from RNAcentral.